This is a long non-coding RNA of Chiroxiphia lanceolata (lance-tailed manakin), 113 nucleotides long. RefSeq lists it as uncharacterized. The record is from RefSeq and is a predicted model, not a curated record. The transcript has 3 exons. NCBI's taxonomy places the organism in Eukaryota, Metazoa, Chordata, Aves, Passeriformes, Pipridae.
CCACUUGUCACUGAUGUCCACUGGGACUCUGAGCCAUUGACCAUGGCCCUCUGGAUGCGACCAUCCAACCACUUUCUUAUCCAUCUAACAGUCCCACCCAUGGAAUUAACACU